This 1077-nucleotide long non-coding RNA is filed under the name Lynx pardinus (Iberian lynx). Lineage: Eukaryota; Metazoa; Chordata; Mammalia; Carnivora; Felidae. The record is from RNAcentral.
GCUCUCCUCUCUUGCUAAGCUUUGUUUCCUGGCAGUAAUUAAAACCUUCUGCCACUGCCAUAGCUAUUGCUGCUGCUGGAACCACCAUAGCCACCUUGGUUUCUGGUUGGGCAAAGUAUUGGCCUCUACCACCACAGGGGCCAGAGCUUCUGCCUCCAAAACUUCCUCCUUUCAUAGGUCCAGAAUUUGAAGAUUGAUUGUUGUAACUGCCAAAAUAAUUAUAGCUUCUACCACCUCCAGAGUUGCUUCCAUCAUUACCAAAUCCGUUAUAGCCAUCCCCACUGCCACCAUAUUCACCACCACCUUUACUGCCACCAAAGUCACCUCACCCACUGAAGUUUCCUCCAUGGCCAAAGUUGUCAUUCCCACCAAAACCACCUCCACGACUGCCACUGAAGUUCCCAGAACCACUUCAACCUCUUUGGCUGGAAGAAGCACUAGCCAUCUUUUGUUUAGGUAAAGCUUUCCUUACUUCACAGUUGUGGCCAUUCACAGUACGAUAUUUCUGAAUGGCAAUCUUGUCUACAGAGUCAUGGUCAUCAAAUGUUACAAAGGCAAAGCCUCUCUUUUUGCCACUUCCUUGGUCAGUCAUGAUUUCAAUCACUUCAAUUUUCCCAUACUGUUCAAAAUAAUCUCUUAGAUGCUGUUCUUCAGUGUCUUUUUUUUUUUUCUUCAGUGUCUUCUUUAAUGCCACCGACAAAAAUCUUUUUCACAGUUUCACACCAGGUCUUUGAGAAUCUUCUUUCAAGACAGCCCUCUUUGGUUCUAGAACUCUUCCAUCCACCUUGUGUGGCCUUGCAUUCAUGGCUGCAUCCACCUCUUCCACAGUGGCAUAGGUGACAAACCCAAAGCCUCUGGAGAGCUUGGUGUUUGGAUCUCUCAUUACCACACAGUCCGUAAGUCUUCCCCACUGCUCAAAAUGGCUCCUCAGACUCUCAUCAAUUGUUUCAAAGCUCAAACCUCCGAUUAAAACUUCUGCAGCUGUUCAGGCUCUUUGGGGGACUCUGACUUAGACAUGAUGGCGGUGGGAGGGGAGACUUUCAUGAAGCUUACUCGGUGACGCCCAUGGACAGAAAG